CGUUUGAGAUAGUCAAUUGAUGAAGAUUGCCAAAGCUUAAAACACUACCCAAUCUUCUAAAUAUCUAAUAAAGCAUGUAGUCACUUAUCAAAACUGAACUAAUCAUCCUCUCUAUUUCAUCAUCAACUCGAGUAAAGAGAUGUAUUUCCUAUUUGAACAAAUACCAACUCCUAUUUCUCAUAUUUGUUCGAUGACAGCCCAAAAAAUUAAAAUUUUCACGU
This 221-nucleotide long non-coding RNA is filed under the name Carica papaya (papaya). RNAcentral's name for it is "long non-coding RNA (CPAP_LNC003921)". The record is from RNAcentral. Lineage: Eukaryota; Viridiplantae; Streptophyta; Magnoliopsida; Brassicales; Caricaceae.